CCAAUAGCGUAUAUUAAAGUUGUUGCAGUUAAAAAGCUCGUAGUUGAAUUUCGGGAUUCUUCCGUUGGUCAGGCUAACCAGUCUGUACUAGCGUGUAGAAUUUCUACCUUCUGGGGAACCAUCAUGUUAUUAAUUUAGCGUGGUGGGAAACCAGGACCUUUACCUUGAAAAAAUUAGAGUGUUCAAAGCAGGCUUACGUCUGAAUACAUUAGCAUGGAAUAAUAAAAUAGGACGGUGGUCCUGUUUUGUUGGUUUCUGAAUCACCGUAAUGAUUAAUAGGGAUAGUUGGGGGCAUUAGUAUUCAAUUGUCAGAGGUGAAAUUCUUGGAUUUAUUGAAGACUAACUUCUGCGAAAGCAUUUGCCAAGGAUGUUUUCAUUAAUCAAGAACGAAAGUUAGGGGAUCGAAGACGAUCAGAUACCGUCGUAGUCUUAACCAUAAACUAUGCCGACUAGGGAUCGGACGAUGUUAAAUUUUAUUGACUCGUUCGGCGCCUUACG
RNAcentral lists this ribosomal RNA (498 nucleotides) under uncultured Glomeromycotina. RNAcentral describes it as "partial small subunit ribosomal RNA". It matches the Rfam family "Eukaryotic small subunit ribosomal RNA", at positions 591 to 1092 of the family's 1831-position model. Lineage: Eukaryota; Fungi; Glomeromycota. The record is from RNAcentral.